CAUAGGUUUGGUCCCAGCCUUCCUGUUAACUCUUAAUAAACUUACACAUGCAAGCAUCUACACCCCAGUGAGAAUGCCCUCUAGGUUAUUAAAACUAAGAGGAGCUGGCAUCAAGCACACACCCUGUAGCUCACGACGCCUUGCUUAACCACACCCCCACGGGAAACAGCAGUGACAAAAAUUAAGCCAUAAACGAAAGUUUGACUAAGUUAUAUUAAUUAGGGUUGGUAAAUCUCGUGCCAGCCACCGCGGUCAUACGAUUAACCCAAGCUAACAGGAGUACGGCGUAAAACGUGUUAAAGCACCAUACCAAAUAGGGUUAAAUUCUAACUAAGCUGUAAAAAGCCAUGAUUAAAAUAAAAAUAAAUGACGAAAGUGACCCUACAAUAGCCGACGCACUAUAGCUAAGACCCAAACUGGGAUUAGAUACCCCACUAUGCUUAGCCCUAAACACAGAUAAUUACAUAAACAAAAUUAUUCGCCAGAGUACUACUAGCAACAGCUUAAAACUCAAAGGACUUGGCGGUGCUUUAUAUCCUUCUAGAGGAGCCUGUUCUAUAUAAUCACUAGU
Molecule: ribosomal RNA, 571 nt
Filed under: Bos taurus (domestic cattle)
Lineage: Eukaryota; Metazoa; Chordata; Mammalia; Artiodactyla; Bovidae
Description: partial 12S ribosomal RNA
Rfam family: Bacterial small subunit ribosomal RNA
Source: RNAcentral